AGAGUUUGAUCCUGGCUCAGGACGAACGCUGGCGGCGUGCUUAACACAUGCAAGUCGAACGGAAAGGCCCUUCGGGGUACUCGAGUGGCGAACGGGUGAGUAACACGUGGGUGAUCUGCCCUGCACUCUGGGAUAAGCCUGGGAAACUGGGUCUAAUACCGGAUAGGACCGCAUGCUUCAUGGUGUGUGGUGCAAAGCUUUUGCGGUGUGGGAUGAGCCCGCGGCCUAUCAGCUUGUUGGUGGGGUAAUGGCCUACCAAGGCGACGACGGGUAGCCGGCCUGAGAGGGUGACCGGCCACACUGGGACUGAGAUACGGCCCAGACUCCUACGGGAGGCAGCAGUGGGGAAUAUUGCACAAUGGGCGCAAGCCUGAUGCAGCGACGCCGCGUGAGGGAUGACGGCCUUCGGGUUGUAAACCUCUUUCAGUAGGGACGAAGCGAAAGUGACGGUACCUACAGAAGAAGGACCGGUCAACUACGUGCCAGCAGCCGCGGUAAUACGUAGGGUCCGAGCGUUGUCCGGAAUUACUGGGCGUAAAGAGCUCGUAGGUGGUUUGUCGCGUUGUUCGUGAAAACUCACAGCUUAACUGUGGGCGUGCGGGCGAUACGGGCAGACUAGAGUACUGCAGGGGAGACUGGAAUUCCUGGUGUAGCGGUGGAAUGCGCAGAUAUCAGGAGGAACACCGGUGGCGAAGGCGGGUCUCUGGGCAGUAACUGACGCUGAGGAGCGAAAGCGUGGGGAGCGAACAGGAUUAGAUACCCUGGUAGUCC
Molecule: ribosomal RNA, 771 nt
Filed under: uncultured bacterium
Lineage: Bacteria
Description: bacterial SSU rRNA
Rfam family: Bacterial small subunit ribosomal RNA
Source: RNAcentral